AUGGAUUAGGCAUGCAAGUCGAACGGUGUAGCAAUACACAGUGGCGGAAGGGUGAGGAACACGUGAAUAAUCUGCCCUCAAGUUGGGAAUAACUUUCCGAAAGGAAAGCUAAUACCGAAUGUGGUUGUUUUAUCGCAUGAUAGGACAACUAAAGAUUUAUCGCUUGAGGAUGAGUCCGCGUCCCAUUAGCUAGUUGGCGGGUAACGGCCCACCAAGGCAGAGAUGGGUAGCUGGUCUGAGAGGAUGAUCAGCCACACUGGGACUGAGACACUGCCCAGACUCCUACGGGAGGCUGCAGUCGAGAAUCUUUUGCAAUGCGCGAAAGCGUGACAAAGCAAUGCCGCGUGCCGGAUGAAGGUCUUCGGAUUGUAAACGGCUGUCACUCGGGACGAAAAAUGACGGUACCGAGGGAGGAAGCCACGGCUAACUACGUGCCAGCCGCCGC
Molecule: ribosomal RNA, 445 nt
Filed under: uncultured bacterium
Lineage: Bacteria
Description: bacterial SSU rRNA
Rfam family: Bacterial small subunit ribosomal RNA
Source: RNAcentral